Hyla sarda is the source of this 226-nucleotide long non-coding RNA. RefSeq lists it as uncharacterized. Lineage: Eukaryota; Metazoa; Chordata; Amphibia; Anura; Hylidae. The transcript has 3 exons. The record is from RefSeq and is a predicted model, not a curated record.
AGUUAUAGUGAGCCACCUUGUGGUAAAUCGCAUAAUUACAACUUCUGAAGGCUCAUUAAUGGCGAGUAAUUCGCUGGUUUCAUUGUGACAGUGUAUACUGUUCCAUACAGAGCCAGAAACUGCUAUAAUCUGCUGAAUGAACCAGGGAUCUAUUCAUGGUUUUGGUCAGAAGAUGGCUCCUGGAAACAAAGCUAAGACCUUCACUGGCAGUUCUCUAUCUGGAAGG